CCUACGGGAGGCAGCAGUGAGGAAUAUUGGUCAAUGGCCGAGAGGCUGAACCAGCCAAGUCGCGUGAGGGAAGAAUGUCCUAUGGAUUGUAAACCUCUUUUGUCAGGGAGCAAAGUCACCCACGUGUGGGUGUUGGAGAGUACCUGAAGAAAAAGCAUCGGCUAACUCCGUGCAAGCAGCCGUGGUAAUACGGAGGAUGCGAGCGUUAUCCGGAUUUAUUGGGGUUAAAGGGUGCGUAGGCGGGUUAUGAAGUCAGCGGUAACAGCGUGGAGCUCAACUCCAUCCAGCCGUUGAAACUGAUGAUCUUGAGUGGGCGAGAAGUAUGCGGAAUGCGUGGUGUAGCGGUGAAAUGCAUAGAUAUCGCGCAGAACUCCGAUUGCGAAGGCAGCAUACCGGCGCCCGACUGACGCUGAAGCACGAAAGCGUGGGGAGCGAACAGGAUUAGAUACCCUAGUAGUC
This 459-nucleotide ribosomal RNA is filed under the name uncultured bacterium. Its description in RNAcentral is "partial 16S ribosomal RNA". It matches the Rfam family "Bacterial small subunit ribosomal RNA", at positions 338 to 795 of the family's 1533-position model. The record is from RNAcentral.